Molecule: non-coding RNA, 500 nt
Organism: Phoenix dactylifera (date palm)
Lineage: Eukaryota; Viridiplantae; Streptophyta; Magnoliopsida; Arecales; Arecaceae
Source: RefSeq, a predicted model, not a curated record
UCGAUGGGAUCUCUCCCUCGUCUUCUCUUUCUCACUCUCGGUGGUCUCGAUGGAUGAUUGUCGGCUACUUGUGGUCGGAUUGUGGUCGGAUUUCAGAAAGAACAGAGCGGCGAAGAAGAGUUAUGAGACAAACGUACCAGCCCAUGGUAGAGAUUGCGACGUCUUGGAGGCUGACUUUCAGAAGUUCAAGAACAAGUAAUCAAAGUUUAAGGAGGAGGAUGAUCGUCGCGCGACGUCAAGCCUUCCCCUUUCCAGCUAAAACUUCCUUUGCCCAUGACGAAGGCUGCUUAGAAGAACGGGAAGGCGACCUCUAGAAAGUCGCGGGAAUGGAGGAGAAAGCGGUGGACCGGAGGGCCGAUGAUGGCGCAAGACGGCUUUAUUUGUUUGGUGUCUCUUUUAAUCUUUUAUGUAUUUAUUUACUCGAUACUCAUAAGAAGAUGAUCUACUUCUUCUUUUUUUGACUAUUUAAUUAAAGUCUGCAGCACGGGCCGAGUUAUUUA